GCCUACGGGGCGCAGCAGUGGGGAAUAUUGCACAAUGGGCGAAAGCCUGAUGCAGCGACGCCGCGUGAAGGAUGAAGUAUUUCGGUAUGUAAACUUCUAUCAGCAGGGAAGAAAAUGACGGUACCUGACUAAGAAGCCCCGGCUAACUACGUGCCAGCAGCCGCGGUAAUACGUAGGGGGCAAGCGUUAUCCGGAUUUACUGGGUGUAAAGGGAGCGUAGACGGCAGAGCAAGUCUGAAGUGAAAGCCC
This 249-nucleotide ribosomal RNA is filed under the name uncultured bacterium. RNAcentral describes it as "partial 16S ribosomal RNA". It matches the Rfam family "Bacterial small subunit ribosomal RNA", at positions 337 to 603 of the family's 1533-position model. The record is from RNAcentral.